RNAcentral lists this ribosomal RNA (440 nucleotides) under uncultured bacterium. RNAcentral's name for it is "partial 16S ribosomal RNA". It matches the Rfam family "Bacterial small subunit ribosomal RNA", at positions 338 to 795 of the family's 1533-position model. The record is from RNAcentral.
CCUACGGGAGGCAGCAGUGGGGAAUAUUGCACAAUGGGCGAAACCCUGAUGCAGCGACGCCGCGUGAGUGAAGAAGUCAUUCGGUAUGUAAAGCUCUAUCAGCAGGGAAGAAAAUGGCGGUACUUGUGAAAGAAGCCCUGGCCAAAUACCUGCCAGCAACCGCGGUAUGACGGAGGGGGCAAGCGUUAUCCGGAUUGACUGGGGUGAAAGGGAGUGUAGAUGGCUGUGCAAGUCUGGAGUGAAAGGCGGGGGCUCAACCCCCGGACUGCUCUGGAAACUGGACGGCUGGAGUGCAGUAGAGGUAAGUAGAAUUCCAAGUGUAGCGGUGAAAUGCGUAGAUAUUAGGAGGAACACCAGUGGCGAAGGCGGCUUACUGGACAGUAACUGACGUUGAGGCUCGAAAGCGUGGGGAGCAAACAGGAUUAGAUACCCUAGUAGUC